Molecule: ribosomal RNA, 630 nt
Filed under: uncultured bacterium
Lineage: Bacteria
Description: bacterial SSU rRNA
Rfam family: Bacterial small subunit ribosomal RNA (bases 1-544)
Source: RNAcentral
CCUACGGGAGGCAGCAGUGGGGAAUUUUGGACAAUGGGGGCAACCCUGAUCCAGCCAUGCCGCGUGAGUGAAGAAGGCCUUCGGGUUGUAAAGCUCUUUCGGACGGAACGAAACGGGCGAGGUUAAUAACCUUGUCCACUGACGGUACCGUAAGAAGAAGCACCGGCUAACUACGUGCCAGCAGCCGCGGUAAUACGUAGGGUGCGAGCGUUAAUCGGAAUUACUGGGCGUAAAGCGUGCGCAGGCGGUUUUGUAAGCUGGAGGUGAAAUCCCCGGGGCUUAACCUGGGAAUGGCCUUCAGGACUGCAAGGCUUGAGUACGGCAGAGGGAGGUGGAAUUCCACGUGUAGCAGUGAAAUGCGUAGAUAUGUGGAGGAACACCGAUGGCGAAGGCAGCCUCCUGGGCCAGUACUGACGCUCAUGCACGAAAGCGUGGGGAGCAAACAGGAUUAGAUACCCUGGUAGUCCACGCCCUAAACGAUGUCAACUAGGUGUUGGGAAGGUGACUUCCUUAGUACCGCAGCUAACGCGUGAAGUUGACCGCCUGGGGAGACGGUCCGCGAAGGUUAAACCGUUAAACGGAAAGUUGUACGGCGUUGAGUAGUUAGCGACGCGACGACGAGGGAGGAGG